Molecule: ribosomal RNA, 388 nt
Filed under: Chrysocampanula sp.
Lineage: Eukaryota; Haptophyta; Prymnesiales
Description: partial small subunit ribosomal RNA
Rfam family: Eukaryotic small subunit ribosomal RNA
Source: RNAcentral
AUUCCAGCUCCAAUAGCGUAUAUUAAAGUUGUUGCAGUUAAAACGCUCGUAGUCGGAUUUCGGGGCGAUCCCGCCGGUCUGCCGUUGGGUAUGCACUGGUGGGCGCGUCCUUCCUUCCGGAGACCGUUCCUACUCUUAGCUGAGCGGGGACGGGAGACGGAUCGUUUACUUUGAAAAAAUCAGAGUGUUUCAAGCAGGCAUUUGCUCUUGCAUGGAUUAGCAUGGGAUAAUGAAAUAGGACUUUGGUGCUAUUUUGUUGGUUUCGAACACCGAAGUAAUGAUUAACAGGGACAGUCAGGGGCACUCGUAUUCCGCCGAGAGAGGUGAAAUUCUCAGACCAGCGGAAGACGAACCACUGCGAAAGCAUUUGCCAGGGAUGUUUUCAUCA